Molecule: ribosomal RNA, 500 nt
Filed under: uncultured bacterium
Lineage: Bacteria
Description: partial 16S ribosomal RNA
Rfam family: Bacterial small subunit ribosomal RNA
Source: RNAcentral
AUUGAACGCUGGCGGCAGGCCUAACACAUGCAAGUCGAGCGGAUGACGGGAGCUUGCUCCUUGAUUCAGCGGCGGACGGGUGAGUAAUGCCUAGGAAUCUGCCUGGUAGUGGGGGACAACGUUUCGAAAGGAACGCUAAUACCGCAUACGUCCUACGGGAGAAAGCAGGGGACCUUCGGGCCUUGCGCUAUCAGAUGAGCCUAGGUCGGAUUAGCUAGUAGGUGAGGUAAUGGCUCACCUAGGCGACGAUCCGUGACUGGUCUGAGAGGAUGAUCAGUAACAAUGGAACUGAGACACGGUCCAGACUCCUACGGGAGGCAGCAGUGGGGAAUAUUGGACAAUGGGCGAAAGCCUGAUCCAGCCAUGCCGCGUGUGUGAAGAAGGUCUUCGGAUUGUAAAGCACUUUAAGUUGGGAGGAAGGGUUGUACGUUAAUACCGUGCAGUUUUGACGUUACCGACAGAAUAAGCACCGGCUAACUCUGUGCCAGCAGCCGCGGUAA